Molecule: ribosomal RNA, 611 nt
Filed under: Jansenia chloropleura
Lineage: Eukaryota; Metazoa; Arthropoda; Insecta; Coleoptera; Carabidae
Description: partial 16S ribosomal RNA
Rfam family: Bacterial large subunit ribosomal RNA
Source: RNAcentral
UAUAAGGUCUAACCUGCCCAAUGAGGAAUUAAAUGGCCGCAGUAUUUUGACUGUGCAAAGGUAGCAUAAUUAUUAGUUUUUUAAUUGAAAGCUUGUAUGAAGGGUUGGACGAGAUAAAAUCUGUCUCUAUUUAAAUUAAAUUAGAAUUUAACUUUUAAGUCAAAAGGCUUAAAUAUUUAUAAAAGACGAGAAGACCCUAUAGAUCUUUAUUUGAUUAAUAUUUUGAUAAUUUAGGAUUAUUUUAAUUUAAAUUAUUAAUUAAAUUUUAUUGGGGUAAUAUAAAGAUUAAAAGAAUUCUUUUUAUUUAUUACAUUGAUUUAUGAAUAUAUGAUCCAGUAUUAUUGAUUAUAAGAUUAAGUUACCUUAGGGAUAACAGCGUAAUUUUUUUGGAGAGCUCAUAUCGAUAAAAAAGUUUGCGACCUCGAUGUUGGAUUAAAAAUUAGCUUGGGUGCAGAAGCUCAAGAUUUUGGUCUGUUCGACCAUUAAAUUUUUACAUGAUCUGAGUUCAGACCGGCGUAAGCCAGGUCGGUUUCUAUCUUUAUUUAAAUAAAAUAUUUUAGUACGAAAGGACCAAAUAUUUAAUAUAAUUAUAUUUAUUUUUGAAUAAUAUU